GAUGAACGCUGGCGGCGUGCCUAAUACAUGCAAGUCGAGCGAACGGACGAGAAGCUUGCUUCUCUGAUGUUAGCGGCGGACGGGUGAGUAACACGUGGAUAACCUACCUAUAAGACUGGGAUAACUUCGGGAAACCGGAGCUAAUACCGGAUAAUAUUUUGAACCGCAUGGUUCAAAAGUGAAAGACGGUCUUGCUGUCACUUAUAGAUGGAUCCGGGCUGCAUUAGCUAGUUGGUAAGGUAACGGCUUACCAAGGCAACGAUGCAUAGCCGACCUGAGAGGGGGUAGCCCGCCACAGAGGGUGAGCCGCGGUCCAGGGUCUGAGGUGAGGCCGCGAGUGGGACUCGACGGAGAAGGGCGGAAUCCUGCCGGAUGGGCGCCGGGCGGAUGCAGCGAGGCUGCGUGAUGGAAAACUGUGUUAUGGGGGAAAAACUUUUGUAGCAGUAACGGUGCACAACUGACGGUACCUGAAUAAGAAGCCCCCGCUGACUACGUG
This 496-nucleotide ribosomal RNA is filed under the name uncultured bacterium. RNAcentral's name for it is "partial 16S ribosomal RNA". It matches the Rfam family "Bacterial small subunit ribosomal RNA", at positions 28 to 507 of the family's 1533-position model. The record is from RNAcentral.